AUGCGCGGGAGGUUCCCCGGCGACCUGCCCCCGCUCGAUGGACUCCGCUUCUUGAACGUCUCGUACAACAACCUGUCCGGCGCGGUGAACGCCAGCGCGGUGAAGAGGUUCGGGCCCUCGGCGUUCGUCCACGCCGGCAAUGCUUCGUUGGUGUUCUCGAAGGACUCCCCUGCGCGGCCCAGGCGGCCUCCGCCGCCACCGCGAACAAAUGGAAAGAAGGAUCACGCGAGGACGGCAAAGAGCACGGCAACGAAAAGGAAAAGGAAGAAGCAUCUGGGCGUGGUCGCCGUGGCGAUCGUGUGCGGGGUGGCGUCCGUGAUCGUCCUGCUCUGCUUGGUCGGAUCCGUGGCGUGCGGGGUGGUGAGGUGCCGGAGCAGGAAGCACGGAGACAAGGAGGCGGAGGAGAAGAAGGUGCAGUGGGGCGAGAAGGAAGAAGACGAGGUGGUUGUGGCGGCGGCAGCAGGAAAGGGGGCAUCGGCCGCGCCGGUGGUGCUCUUCGAGCGGCCGCUCAUGGAGCUGACGCUGGCCGACCUCGCCGCGGCCACUUCCGGCUUCGGGCGCGAGUCCCAGCUCGCGGAGCGCGGUGGCCGCAGCGGCGCCGCGUACCGCGCCGUUCUGCCUGGGGACCUGCACGUCGUCGUGCGCGUCGUGGAGGGCGCCAUGGCCGGGGUCGGGGAGGACGACAACCCGGCCGCCGCGGCCGCGGCGUUCCGGGAACUCGCGCGGCUCCGGCACCCCAACAUCCUUCCGCUCAUCGGAUACUGCAUUGCAGGGAGGGAGAAGCUGCUGCUGUACGAGUACAUGGAGAAAGGCGACCUCCACCGGUGGCUGCACGAGCUGGAGCUGCCGGCGGGGCGGCCGGACUUGGACGACACCGGCGGCGACAUCUGGGAGGCGGCGGAGGACAGGCGGUCGAUAUCCGACUGGCCGACGCGGCACCGGAUCGCGCUGGGCGUCGCCCGGGGCCUGGCGUUCCUGCACCAGGGGUGGGCCGGGUCCGGCCGGGCCGUGGUGCACGGCCACCUGGUCCCGACCAACGUGCUCCUCAGCGACGACCUGGAGCCCCGGAUCUCCGACUUCGGGCACCUCAGCGGCGGCGACGGCGACGACAACGCGACGCCGGAAGCGGACGUGUACGGGUUCGGCGCGCUGGUGCUGGAGCUGAUGACGGGGCAGGCAAGGUGGGACGAGGCGUCGGUGAGCUGGGCGCGCGGGCUCGUCCGCGACGGCAAGGGGCUGGACAUCGUGGACCCGCGGGUGCACGGCGGCGAGGCGGCGGAGCGGGAGAUGGUGGAGUGCCUGCGCGUGGGGUACCUGUGCACGGCGCACUCGCCGGACAAGCGGCCGACGAUGCAGCAGGUGGUGGGCGUGCUCAAGGACAUCCGGCCUCGCCCGCUCGACGGCGGCGGCGACGCGUGA
Molecule: ribosomal RNA, 1419 nt
Filed under: Triticum aestivum (bread wheat)
Lineage: Eukaryota; Viridiplantae; Streptophyta; Magnoliopsida; Poales; Poaceae
Description: partial small subunit ribosomal RNA
Source: RNAcentral